RNAcentral lists this ribosomal RNA (415 nucleotides) under uncultured microorganism. RNAcentral describes it as "bacterial SSU rRNA". It matches the Rfam family "Archaeal small subunit ribosomal RNA", at positions 330 to 745 of the family's 1478-position model. The record is from RNAcentral.
GUGCAGCAGUCGAGAAAACUUCACAAUGUGCGAAAGCACGAUGAGGGAAUCCCAAGUGCUUGCACGUAAGUGUAAGCUGUUUCUCUGUCUAAAACGCAGAGAGAGUAAGGGCUGGGUAAGACGGGUGCCAGCCGCCGCGGUAAUACCUGCAGCUCGAGUGGUGACCGUUAUUAUUGGGCCUAAAACGUCCGUAGCCGGUUUAAUAAAUGCCUGGGUAAAUCGGACCGCUUAACGGUUCGAAUUCCGGGUAGACUGUUAAACUUGAGACCGGGAGAAGUUAGAGGUACUCCUGGGGUAGAGGUGAAAUUCUGUAAUCCUAGGGGGACCACCAGUGGCGAAGACGUCUAACUAGAACGGGUCUGACGGUGAGGGACGAAGCCCUGGGGCGCAAACGGGGAUUAGAUACCCGUGUAGU